This 23-nucleotide non-coding RNA is filed under the name Arabidopsis thaliana (thale cress). The record is from RNAcentral. Lineage: Eukaryota; Viridiplantae; Streptophyta; Magnoliopsida; Brassicales; Brassicaceae.
CGAAUAGGAUGGUCCGGCAAUAG